AAAAUAAAAAAAAAUAAAUAAAUAGUCCCCAGGAUCAGCAGUUAGCAUCCAACAAUAAUUUCAGCACAAAGUUUAUUUUGAGAUGUACAAAAUUAUCUUCAAAGAUCAUUUGAACAAACAAUAAUUUUUGUAUGAGCCCCAAGAACAUAGACAACUCUCCCCCUCAAAAUAUAAUGAGAAAAGUAGUGGAAAUAAGCGACAAUUUUCCGAAUGAGUACUAGACUACUAGGGAAAGACAAGGCUUGCCAAAAGGUUAAGAAAAAUUCUUAGUUUUGUUCCAUUUGCCUUAAUGAUAUUGACCCAUGAUAUUGACCAAUAUUCAGUUUCCGAUUUGCUUAGACUAAGGCGGAGGAAACAAAGAGAAAGAGGGGGAGAGGAAACCAGGCGCUGCAGACUGCAGGUAGGGCUGUCCAUAGGAGAUGGAGAUAGGGUUAAUAUAUGGAGACAAAAUGACAUCAAUUGUCAUUUAUAUAGGUUAGCUCGGUUUAACUAGUUCUAUUUCACUAUUGAACUAACAAAACAGAAUCGAAAAACCAAAAUAUUUUAAAAAUGAUAACCAAAACUGAAAAACCAAAUUAGAUAGGUUCAAUUUGAUUUUUCGAUUAAAAUCAAAAUAAGGUCAGCCCUACUAUUGUGUAUCUAAGCUAUUCAUCGCAAAACAUAUGAGAAGCAUGCAGAAAAAUAAUUUUCCAACAGCACAGUCACCAUUGAAGUUACUGCUUACACCUUUUGCCCUCUUAAUGUUCCCAAAGUAUGCUGCCAAUAAUGAGCCUUUUGAGUCUCCACCAGAAAAGCAAAGGCUGUGAGUUAACUUUUGCAUGACAGCGUUUUGUUAGUCUCAACUCUAGUAUACAAGUUUAGAAUAGAUUUUAACAUGUCAGUGAUUGACCUAGAUGUGAAUAAAUCAAAAAGAAGAUGAGAGAAAGAGCUCUAAAAGACCACAGCUACAUAAAGAGAGGAAAUAAAAUUGCAGAAGAGGAAGGCACAAAACAAUUUCAGGUCAAGAAGCAAGAAAGAACAAGAUGAUCCAUAAAACAGGGUAUAAAAAGAGCUGGUUGCAGGAGUUAGCGCCAACUAUAGCAAUAUACAACAAUAUGGAGCUUAGAUUACAGCUUCAAGCCAUGUACAUACAUCAACAAAAUAGCACAAUAGACAUGGUUGAAUGCAAACCAUCGAUCCCAACAUAAAUUCAAUCCCCCCUCUUCUCUCUCCUACUUUCUAAGAGUUACCAAGCAUAAUUAAAAUUAAAUGGAUAUAAAUGGGAAUGAAGCUUGUAGCUAAAUCUGAUGAAUUCCAUUGCAGAAAGCAAGAUGCAUAUUACCAAUACUUUCUUUCAAAAAUCUUCUAGGUAGAGAAUUUGGUCAGACCUAUAAAACAGCAAGGUGAAGUGAAUUGAGAAAUUUCAGUGCCCACAAAAUUUCCAUUUCAAUUUUCAUGAGUUGGGUCUACUUGCUCGACUCCAGAGUUCAACUCAGUUGAAGUAUCAUCAGAUUGCAGACCUUCAUUUCUUUGUUGUCUCACGAAUUGUCUGCUACGACUAACUCUAAUUGACCUUCCCAUAAACAUCUUCCCUGGAAAUGCAGAAAGGGCAGCAUCCGCUUCUCUUUUAGUUUUGAAGGCGACAAAUCCAUAGCCAGAAGGCCUUCUUGGAUUAUCAUGGUAUACAAUUUCAGCAGAAACAACAUCAGUGCCUUCAGCAUUAAAGAACUCCUUAAGAUCUUUUGCCUUAGCUUCGAAUGGCAAAUUUGCUACAAACAAGUUGAAUGUUGCUGCUGGCUUUGGAGGUGGUGGUGGUGAAGGUUUUUUCUUUUUUAGCUUGGCGUAAUUCAUCUUCAAAGUCCGACCCUCAAAUUCCUAAAGAGUAAUUAGAAGAAGAUUAAAAUGCUGAAAUUGAAAAGAUGGGAAAACUAGUUAAACUUGUAAAUGCCCAUUAAACAACAAAAUCUUAAGUUCUCAAUCUUACAUUAUUCAUGUUCAUUAGCUUUCGAUGAGAAAAAAAACUGACAUAACUGGACUCAAGUUAAACAGAUAAACAAAUGUAGCCAAAUAUUUAAGUAAACCAUGAAAGAAUUGAAGACAACGAGCUUACAUAAGAUUCGAGAUUUUUAAUAGCUGCAAGUGCCUCCUCAGGGGAGCCCAUAGUGACAAAUGCCAAACCCCUGUUUCUGGUCUUGUUAUGCAUAGAAAGCUAGACCACAGCAACCAAAUCAGCACAUACCCAUAUCAACAGAAUACACGAAAACCAUAACCCAUAUAACAGAUAUGGAAAUCAAAAUAAAGAUAAAGGCAAAUAAAUUAAGAAAAGAACCUCAACGUCUAAAACAGUCCCAAAUUUCUCAAACAAAGUACGGAUGUCUUCGGUGGUAGAAGUCCAAGGAACAUUCUGAGCGAGCACUCUGGUUCGAGAAUAUUCCUCUUGUUCUCCUUCUUCUUCAGUCUUUGCUUCGACUUCUGAUUGGGUCAACGAGGAAUCAACAACUGGGUCUUGAGUUGUAGAAGAGAAAUGUAAAACGAAGCAGCUUAGUUUGGAGUUUCUAAUUGGAAGUAUAGGAGUACGAGAAAGAGAAAGGGUACAUGAAAGAGAGAGAAUGUUUUUAGUAUUGAUAGUAUGGUUAGCACGAUUAAAAGGUUUACAGAGAGGAGGUGAUGGAAGAGGCUUAUGGAAUAUUUGAUAAUGUUCACUAGAAAAGGACGGGGUUGACGAAGGACAGGGAAGACGAAUUGAAGCCAUGGA
This 2734-nucleotide unclassified non-coding RNA is filed under the name Hevea brasiliensis (rubber tree). The record is from RNAcentral. Lineage: Eukaryota; Viridiplantae; Streptophyta; Magnoliopsida; Malpighiales; Euphorbiaceae.